CUUUCUUUUAUCCUCAUGCUUUGUGGUUUCGAUGCUUCUGAUCCUGUUGCCUAUGGACAUAUUCUCCCGAACCACAAUUUUUUGCCCAUCGGGAUUGCAUCUGGAGGUAGAAAAGCAAAGGUGGUGGUCAAGAACAACAACUCACUGCAGAUGAUGUUCCGUCAGGCUCCAGAUCUCCAUUCCUCAUUCCUUCGUCCCCUCAGACCGUGAGAGGGAUUGUCUUGUUGUGAAGAAGAUGAGAAGGGAGCAGAGUUAGGGGCUGUCCAGCUCACAUCCCGGCUGUAAAAUGGACACGAUUUCCUGCACCGCAUCGCUCUGGGUUACGCAACGUACUGCUGAGCAAGUGCUUUCAGAUUUGUGAGCAAUUCACAGGACAAAUUUGUGGGACUAAUGUUGGAUUUCCUUGGAACUGGCAUCUCAUUUCCCAUCAGUAAAUUAUUUCUGAUCAGAAAAAUAAUUUUGUAAAACUCCCUGGGGAGAGAAGCACAUUUUUCAUUAUCUUGGGCAUUUUUCUUUUCAGUGUCAAAUACUGUAUUCAGCAUGUCUGAACUGACCUCAAAAGUGUGAUUUUCAGUUGGAGAAAGAGACUCCAAGUUCAGUCUGAAAGGUUAUUCUAGUGUUAUAUGAAAGGUUACUCAAGUGUUGUAUUUUCUGGGCUGUAAGAACCAAGCUUUACACACUUGGGGAGAGAUACAGUAUAUUUGUGUGGUCAUGUGUGCGUGAAAGCGUAUGGGGAGACAAGGUUUGAUUACAAUCUUUUAAUAUGAGGAGAUUUUUCUAUACUCUUGGCGAAAUGAUGAACAUGAUUGUCAUUUAAAUUAUCCUUCUACAAAAGAAAUAAUCAUUUUAUCUUCAUUUAAUUCAAAUAAGAACAGACAUGAGUGACGAAUGAAUUCCUAACUCCAGGAUAGCUGUGUGGCACUCUUAAGCAUUACCUAAAACCUGAAAUGAGUCAAAAUGAUUCAUCAAUUGACAUAAUUAGUAUUUAUGCAAUUACUUUCUUAAAACACGAGGGGCUGGCUAAAAGUGCCUCCCCAUCAUUUCUUGUACGGUGCCUUAUAACAUGGUUAAUGUGGGUUCGGAGCUAAUUAAGGGCACGACUCUCAGAAGCUGAAGCAAUUUUCUAUGUGUCUCUCUUUUUCCCUGUGGAUGUUCUAACAGUGGUCAGUGUCACUCUGCAAACGACUCUUCCUGCUGCGCCAAAUCCUAUUUACAGAAGUUGCCUCAGUCAGUGAUGGAGACAAGUUAAUAGGCUUCCGUGGUGAGUUCUGGCCUUUUAGAUUUGCUCAGACCAUAACUAGAUAGUUGGCUCAGUGGGCUGGCGUCUGCAGCCGUCUCACCUGCAAAAGGCUCUCCAGUUAGCCUGACGAGGAGUUUUUAGUCUAAAGCCAGUGAUUAUCUAAGGUGCACCUAGCAGUGUAUUUCUCAGAUAACUCUCUCCCUCCUCCAAACACUCCUUUGCUUUCUCUUGCAUGUUUGCUUUCUAAGCAACAUGGUGGAUUAUGCACAAGCUCUUAUUUGCUCGUGUUUAGGUGGAAGGUAAAGCUUGGGGUAAGCACUGCUAAAAUCCAAGUAUGUUUCUGGUUGCACCUUAAAUGAUGCACCUAAAGUGCAGGUUGCAUUGAGGCACUUAUAUUUGCAUGUGUAGUGCUAUUUUUUAAGCAUGCAAAAAAAAGGUGUUGGGAAUACAGAGCUUUAGCAGGCAUGGGACUAAUGGCAGUUCAGAAGGUGAGCAAGCAAGUGGGCUGACUCUGUGCAGACUCCACAGUGCUCUGUGCCUGCCCCUGUCCCUGUCCGUGUCCCUGCUCCUGCUCCUGCAGGCAGGGUCCUGCUCUCUCCCUGGAGCUCUGCAGCAGUGUGGGGAGCCCGACCCACAGCUCCCUCAGCUCCCCUUAUCUUGAGCUCACCGAACACCUCUAGAGCCUUGUCCCCAGCCAGCAGUCACAGAAUCACAGCACCCCAGAAUGUCAGGGGUUGGAAGGGACCUGGAAAGCUCAUCCAGUGCAAUCCCCCCAUGGAGCAGGAACACCCAGAUGAGGUUACACAGGAAGGUGUCCAGGCGGGUUGGAAUGUCUGCACAGAAGGAGACUCCACAACCUCCCUGGGCAGCCUGGGCCAGGCUCUGCCACCCUCACCAUCAAGAAGUUUCUUCUCAGAUUUAAGUGGAACCUCUUGUGUUCCAGUUUGAACCCAUUACCCCUUGUCCUGUCACUGGUUGUCACCCAGAAGAGCCUGGCUCCAUCCUCCUGACACUCCCCCUUUCCAUAUUGAUCCCCAGGAAUGAGUCCCCCCUCAGUCUCCUCUUGUCCAGCUCCAGAGCCCCAGCUCCCUCAGCCUUUCCUCACACGGGAGAUGCUCCACUCCCUUCAGCAUCUUGGUGGCUGCGCUGGACUCUCUCCAGCAGUUCCCUGUCCUGCUGGAACUGAGGGGCCACAACUGGACACAAUAUUCCAGGUGUGGUCUCCCCAGGGCAGAGCAGAGGGGCAGGAGAACCUCUCUGACCUACUGACCACCCCCUUCUAACCCACCCCAGGUACCAUUGGCUUCCUGGCCACAAGGGCCCAGUGCUGGCUCAUGGUCAUCCUGCUGUCCCCAGAACCCCGAGGUCCCUUUCCCCUACACCGCUCUCUCCUGCUUGCUUCAGUAGUGCUGAACUGCAAGACGUCUUUCAAUAACUCCAUUCCUGACCUGCUGUACCCCUUGCUAUCCCACUGCUCACUUCCUGCUCCCCCCAGCACCGGGAUCUGCCGGCUGACUCCCGUCCCUUGGCCAUUGCCCUCCCCAGGCAGAGUUUUCUCAAGCAAAAGCCAAACAAACCUUAAAAGCUUUCUGGUCUCUGCCUGCUUUUGGAAGGCGCAAUGUUCAGAUAGCUUUAAAUGUAUCGAAAUAAAUGGGUUUUCGUCC
Columba livia (rock pigeon) is the source of this 2904-nucleotide long non-coding RNA. RefSeq lists it as uncharacterized. The transcript has 2 exons. NCBI's taxonomy places the organism in Eukaryota, Metazoa, Chordata, Aves, Columbiformes, Columbidae. The record is from RefSeq and is a predicted model, not a curated record.